UGAGGUAUAGCCAAGUGGUAAGGCAACGGACUUUGACUCCGUCAUUCCGCUGGUUCGAAUCCAGCUACUUCAA
This 73-nucleotide transfer RNA is filed under the name Caudoviricetes sp. Its description in RNAcentral is "tRNA-Gln". It matches the Rfam family "tRNA". Rfam says of the family: Transfer RNA (tRNA) molecules are approximately 80 nucleotides in length. Their secondary structure includes four short double-helical elements and three loops (D, anti-codon, and T loops). The record is from RNAcentral. Lineage: Duplodnaviria; Heunggongvirae; Uroviricota; Caudoviricetes.